This 379-nucleotide ribosomal RNA is filed under the name uncultured euryarchaeote. RNAcentral's name for it is "bacterial SSU rRNA". It matches the Rfam family "Archaeal small subunit ribosomal RNA", at positions 505 to 882 of the family's 1478-position model. The record is from RNAcentral. Lineage: Archaea; Methanobacteriati; Methanobacteriota.
UGGGCCUAAAGCGUUCGUAGCCGGUUGAAUAAGUCCUUGGUGAAAAGGGCACGCUUAACGUGUCCAAUGGCUAAGGAUACUGUUCGGCUAAGAGACUAGUAGAGGUGCAUGGAAUUACGGGGGUAACGGUGAAAUGUUGUGAUCCUCGUAGGACCACCGGUAGCGAAGGCGAUGCACCAGGAUAGAUCUGACGGUGAGGAACGAAAGCUGGGGGAGCGACCCGGAUUAGAUACCCGGUUAGUCCCAGCUGUAAACGAUGCAGACUAGGUGUUCGGUUUUCUACGUGAAACCCGAGUGCCGUCGCGAAGGCAUUAAGUCUGCCGCCUGGGAAGUACACUCGCAAGGGUGGAACUUAAAGGAAUUGGCGGGGGAGCACAAG